Long non-coding RNA from Crotalus tigris (Tiger rattlesnake), 1529 nucleotides. RefSeq lists it as uncharacterized. Lineage: Eukaryota; Metazoa; Chordata; Lepidosauria; Squamata; Viperidae. The record is from RefSeq and is a predicted model, not a curated record. The transcript is spliced from 2 exons.
CACCCUCCCAUUUUUCCCACAACAAAUAAACUUUUACUGACUUUCAGAGCUAUACUUGGGGAAUUGCUUUCCUAUUUCCCUGCAUGAGAAGCAUAUGUUAUUACAUGAGAUGAUGGAACACCUUGGAUUAUAAACUCUUACUUGAUAAACAAUUUCUACAACAAACCAUCUUUUGAGAUAAGUUGGACUGAGUGAGAAUGACUGACCCAAGGUCACCCAAUCUGUUUUUCAUUGCUAAGGAGGGACUAGAACUCACAGUCUCCUGUUUUUAGGUCAGCCCUUAACCACUACAGUAAAUGUUAGGAAAAAAGAAAAAAGAAACCUGCUGAAUUAAUUAAACACUUUGAUCCACAAAUGCUUACAUUUUCACAUUGCUAAAAAGAAUAAAACCAUUUUUAAAAAGUGUAGGGGUGGCGCUUAGUGUCCAUGUAAAGUUUUAUUGUAAACUGCCCAGAGUCUGACAGACUGACAGAAAAUUGAAACAAGAAACGUGGGUAUUUUUUCUUUUAAUUAAAGAAGGUCAUCGUAAAAAUGUGGCUCACACAGCAAUUUGAAUUUAUUUAUUUGUUUUCUUUUUAUUAACAUUUCUUCCUUUUUCUUUUCUUUUUUUUUUAAUGUUGCACUUUUCAACUGGGAAGGCUUUGAAAGCUAUAGGGUUUGUGUCCUCAGAUUUAGGUUAUUAAAAUGUUCAAUACAAAAGAAAAAGGGGGUGGAACUGAAACAAGAAAAUCCAGUUUCAAGUUUAAUUGUUUAUAUAAUUGUUCAUCCUGGCAAGUAUUAAUAGAAUUGAGAUCUGCAUGUCACGCUACUAAAAUACCUGAUUCUCAAGCUUGACCUCAAAUAGGAAUAACAAUUCUUUGUUUAUUUACAUUUAAGGUAUAAUGUGUUCAGUAGAUCUACUUCUAGCUCAGCUGCUGCUCCAGAUGACGUUCUCAAGCUUAGAUGCGACAUCUUCCCUGGAGUGGCAAAAUGGAUGGCUUCCCCUUAUUUGUCCUGCGUUGGUUCCUCAGAUUCAUUCCCCUCUCUCUGGACAUCAAGGCACCUUUGUACUUGAAGGACAUUUCUCUAUCUUUCCAGACAGUCCAGUGGAUGGCUGCUGCUUCUUCAUCCAGUGACUUUCCUAUUUGCCCAUUUCACUCACUGCAAAAUAAGCAGAAAAGGGCUCCACUAAUUGUAGGGACAAUGGAGACUUAAGUUUGGUACUCCCUAUUGGGCAGCUGGGAAAAGCACUGGCCAAUUCUUGAGGAUCCAUAGCAACCAGAAAAGACAACCCUUGAAUGAGUUCCUCUGUGAAGGCAGGGUAAUGAAAAUGGUGGCUCUACACAAAUGACCUGGAUCGGGAGCCAAUUUAUAAAAUCUUCCAAAUGGAAAUAGGCUGUGUAUAUGUUCUUAAAGUAUAGAAGGGCUGCCUCUCUGAUCCAUUUGCUUUUCCUUGAAGUAAUAUUAUUUUAGGAUUUGUUUGCAUAUAUUCCUCCAACGUUGAUUUGCUGUUGUCAAAUUAAUGUUUGCAAUAAAUAGUAAAAAUGAAA